Paramuricea clavata is the source of this 882-nucleotide non-coding RNA. The record is from the annotation of a GenBank genome assembly. NCBI's taxonomy places the organism in Eukaryota, Metazoa, Cnidaria, Anthozoa, Malacalcyonacea, Plexauridae.
GGAGCACCCUUAUUUUGACACUUGUGGGUUGCAGUCUGUGAGCUCUAUUAUGUACCUGGAGCAAGAAGUUCAGUCAUUCAGCCAAUGAGAAGAGUGAAGCCAAAAUGACAGAAACUGACAUUCAAAAUCUAUGAAGGUCAUAGAAGGUUUCAUACUAUUUGCCCAGCUAAUUGCAGUCUUUUCUAAUAGACUAUAUUGCCAAUCAUUAUCAGUUCAUAAAAAGCACAUUUAGUAGUGUCUAAAUUGUCGUCAAAACAAGACAUUUUGGCACACUCCAUUCAGCCUUGUGUUAGCAGGGCAGAAAAAAAAACACUAGACUGGCACUGGAUGUCAAUUUCAGCCAUCUUUUGCUUCACUUUUUUUUAACACGAGUUCUUACUCCAGAUAUAUAUGGAGCUCAGUGGUUUCAGUAAGCAUUUCAUACAGAGCAGGAGAUGGCUGGUCAACUUCAGAAUUGUUGACAAUGAUAGGAAUAACAAAAUUGGCCUGCAAAUACGAAAUAACUGCACAUGAAAGGACUUAACAAAUGUUAGACCACCAGCCAGUUUGAAUGACCAGCAUCAGCUGCAAAACAGUGCUUAGUGAAAUUCACCUUCUACAACAAAUCAGAUCCUUCAGACUGGCUUUGGAAGGCUGUUACAUGGUUGAGUGCAAAUUAAUUCAAUUGAGUGUAAUUAACGAGCAUGCAUACAUGCAUGUGCUCUUAUUCAAUUUGUGUAGGAAAUUAUUUUUCUAAUUUUGUUGGGUUACAUAGACCCACCACGAUUUGGUUCUAUAGACUUCUACAAACUGUUAUUAAUAACCAUAGUAGGGGUUAAUUGUUGUGGCGGCUACGGGCUAUCGUAGAAUUAUUCAUGUAUUAAAUACAAAACUAAACAGAAA